Molecule: ribosomal RNA, 428 nt
Filed under: uncultured prokaryote
Description: bacterial SSU rRNA
Rfam family: Bacterial small subunit ribosomal RNA
Source: RNAcentral
UAGGGAAUUUUGCACAAUGGGCGCAAGCCUGAUGCAGCAAUGCCGCGUGAGUGAAGAAGGCUCUUGGGUUGUAAAGCUCUUUCGGCCAAGAAGAAGGGAUUGCCUGCGAACAGUUUGCAAUUCUGACGGUAUUGGAAGAAGAAGCACCUGCUAACUUCGUGCCAGCAGCAGCGGUAAUACGAAGGGUGCAAGCGUUGUUCGGAAUUACUGGGCGUAGAGCGCGCGUAGGCGGGUCUAUAAGUAGAUUGUGAAAUCCCUGGGCUUAACCUGGGACGUGCAGUCUAAACUGUAGAGCUUGAAUGUCUUAGAGGAUGGCGGAAUUCCCGGUGUAGUAGUGAAAUACGUAGAUAUCGGGAAGAACACCUGAGGCGAAGGCGGCUAUCUGGCGGAACAUUGACGCUAAGGCGCGAAAGCGUGGGGAGCAAACA